AUCCAUAUAUACACAUAUACAUAUAUACAUGAGUACUCCACGAUUCCUUGCCACAGGCAAACUAAAGAACGUCACGUAGCCCGUGAGCCUACCUCGGUAUGAGGCAACGUAGCCUCUCCCUCUCGAACCUUAGGUCGGACACAGGAAGCCGAUGGAAACAAAUGGCAUCACGAUGUAGCCACAACUCUGUCCUCCGCACAUCUACGGGUUACACUUUCUCUUGAACCUUUCUAUCACCAGCCACAGCUCAUCGAAAACCAGCCUCACGCUAAACCCAAAUCCCCGUCGAUCCGCGCUUUGUCUUGCACCAACACAACACACAUGUGGAGGCCCCUCCAGCCGGCCACUCAAACCUUUCUUCUCUCCUCUCUCUGCGCUUCCUAGCAAGCAAGAUCACCGACAGAGCAGCCGCCUCCGACAUAUAUCCAGACUCCCAAUCAGGGGGGCGGGGUUAAUCAUUAGAAUAUAUACAUAGAUCGUCUCCCUCGUCACGUAUUGUAUUGUGGUUGAGUGAUCUGCAAUCUACCAUCCGCAUACAGCUUAGUGGCCCCUCCAUCCGGCUUCUUUUUCUUCGUUUCCUUUUUUUUGCUUUUUCCUUCCUAUUUCGUCCUUGUAGGCUGGUGAUAUUUUUAGAGCGUGUCCGGGGCACAGAUCUGUAUAUAGACAUCUGUAUCUGUCUACGGAGGACAUGGGAGCCUGGCACUCAUUCGUAGAUGGGAUGAUAACAAAUCCUCUUCCAGGCUGCAGGGACUCCCUUAGACAAGAGCGUGAUCUAUCUCAAAAUCGAGCUUCGACGAGUGCCUGCCAUUCAUAAGGUUCUUCACUUGGUCUUCUGAUCAACGGGGGAAGAUGUAGGAGAAGAGAGAGGAGGAGGAGGAGGACACAAGAGUUCCCGGAGCC
RNAcentral lists this small RNA (900 nucleotides) under Histoplasma capsulatum. RNAcentral describes it as "hypothetical RNA". Lineage: Eukaryota; Fungi; Ascomycota; Eurotiomycetes; Onygenales; Ajellomycetaceae. The record is from RNAcentral. RNAcentral also lists the same sequence under 1 other name.